AUUUAAACAACUGUUUGUGUGUGAAGGACAGUUGCCCAUUAUGGUCGCUAGAUGGUGCUGCAACCUCAUUUUUUCUUUUGGUUUGUAUUGUUUUGGAGUUCAGUAAUUAGGACUGUUGGUCCUUAGAGGCCACCGUAGUAGCGCAGCAGCUAGAACGCGCAAAAACG
Long non-coding RNA from Salarias fasciatus (jewelled blenny), 167 nucleotides. RefSeq lists it as uncharacterized. The transcript has 3 exons. The record is from RefSeq and is a predicted model, not a curated record. Lineage: Eukaryota; Metazoa; Chordata; Actinopteri; Blenniiformes; Blenniidae.